RNAcentral lists this ribosomal RNA (253 nucleotides) under uncultured bacterium. RNAcentral's name for it is "partial 16S ribosomal RNA". It matches the Rfam family "Bacterial small subunit ribosomal RNA", at positions 524 to 776 of the family's 1533-position model. The record is from RNAcentral.
GACGAACCGUGCGAACGUUGUUCGGAUUCACUGGGCUUAAAGGGCGCGUAGGCGGGCCAUCAAGUCCGGGGUGAAAGCCCCCAGCUCAACUGGGGAAGUGCCUCGGAUACUGACGGCCUCGAGGGGGGUAGGGGCGGGCGGAACUUCCGGUGGAGCGGUGAAAUGCGUAGAUAUCUGGAGGAACACCGGUGGCGAAGGCGGCAUCCUGGACCGGCAUUGACGCUGAGGCGCGAAAGCCAGGGGAGCAAACGGG